This 76-nucleotide transfer RNA is filed under the name Mangrovimonas sp. DI 80. RNAcentral describes it as "tRNA-Lys". It matches the Rfam family "tRNA". Rfam says of the family: Transfer RNA (tRNA) molecules are approximately 80 nucleotides in length. Their secondary structure includes four short double-helical elements and three loops (D, anti-codon, and T loops). Further hydrogen bonds mediate the characteristic L-shaped molecular structure. tRNAs have two regions of fundamental functional importance: the anti-codon, which is responsible for specific mRNA codon recognition, and the 3' end, to which the tRNAs corresponding amino acid is attached (by aminoacyl-tRNA synthetases). tRNAs cope with the degeneracy of the genetic code in two manners: having more than one tRNA (with a specific anti-codon) for a particular amino acid; and 'wobble' base-pairing, i.e. permitting non-standard base-pairing at the 3rd anti-codon position. The record is from RNAcentral. Lineage: Bacteria; Pseudomonadati; Bacteroidota; Flavobacteriia; Flavobacteriales; Flavobacteriaceae.
GACUAGGUAGCUCAGCUGGUAGAGCAUAACACUUUUAAUGUUAGGGUCCUGGGUUCGAACCCCAGCCUGGUCACAA